RNAcentral lists this ribosomal RNA (967 nucleotides) under Trigonopterus sp. 779 AR-2022a. RNAcentral's name for it is "SSU rRNA". It matches the Rfam family "Eukaryotic small subunit ribosomal RNA", at positions 23 to 931 of the family's 1831-position model. Lineage: Eukaryota; Metazoa; Arthropoda; Insecta; Coleoptera; Curculionidae. The record is from RNAcentral.
GUCAUAUGCUUGUCUCAAAGAUUAAGCCAUGCAUGUCUCAGUACAAGCCAAAUUAAGGUGAAACCGCGAAAGGCUCAUUAAAUCAGUUAUGGUUCCUUAGAUCGUACCCACAUUUACUUGGAUAACUGUGGUAAUUCUAGAGCUAAUACAUGCAAACAGAGCUCCGACCGGAGACGGGAGGAGUGCUUUUAUUAGAUCAAAACCAAUCGGUGGCGGGUUCGCUCGUCAUCGUACAACUUGGUGAUUCUGAAUAACUUUACGCUGAUCGCACGGUCAUCGCGCCGGCGACGCAUCUUUCAAAUGUCUGCCUUAUCAACUGUCGAUGGUAGGUUCUGCGCCUACCAUGGUUGUAACGGGUAACGGGGAAUCAGGGUUCGAUUCCGGAGAGGGAGCCUGAGAAACGGCUACCACAUCCAAGGAAGGCAGCAGGCGCGCAAAUUACCCACUCCCGGCACGGGGAGGUAGUGACGAAAAAUAACGAUACGGGACUCAUCCGAGGCCCCGUAAUCGGAAUGAGUACACUCUAAACCCUUUAACGAGGAUCAAUUGGAGGGCAAGUCUGGUGCCAGCAGCCGCGGUAAUUCCAGCUCCAAUAGCGUAUAUUAAAGUUGUUGCGGUUAAAAAGCUCGUAGUCGAAUUUGUGUCUCGCGCCGCCGGUUCAUCGUUCGCGGUGUUAACUGGCGAGUCGCGAGACGUCCUGCCGGUGGGCUUAGCUCGCGAGGGCGGCCCAACUCAAUCCUGCCGCGGUGCUCUUCGUUGAGUGUCGAGGUGGGCCGGCACGUUUACUUUGAACAAAUUAGAGUGCUUAAAGCAGGCUAAAACUUCGCCUGAAUACUGUGUGCAUGGAAUAAUGGAAUAGGACCUCGGUUCUAUUUUGUUGGUUUUCGGAACCCCGAGGUAAUGAUUAAUAGGAACGGAUGGGGGCAUUCGUAUUGCGACGUUAGAGGUGAAAUUCUUGGAUCGUCGC